Molecule: ribosomal RNA, 1947 nt
Filed under: Triticum aestivum (bread wheat)
Lineage: Eukaryota; Viridiplantae; Streptophyta; Magnoliopsida; Poales; Poaceae
Description: partial small subunit ribosomal RNA
Source: RNAcentral
AUGGGCUCCUCCUCCCUCCUCCUCUUCCCCUCGUCCUCCUCCUCCGCCCCCCGCUCCUCUUAUUCCCAUGCCACCGCCUCCUCCCACUGCCACCUGCUCCCCUGCCCUCCCGACUUCCUCCUCCACCUCCACCUCCUAGACCACCGAGAGCAAGAACCCGCCGCCGCCGCCAUGGUCCGCAAGCGCCCGGCGACCGACAUGGACCUGCCCCCGCCGCGGCGCCACGUCACGGGGGACCUCUCGGACAUGACCGCCGGACCGCCCGUGCUGUCGUCGGCCACCGCGCAGCUGCCCGCGCUGCCCUCCCAGCUGCUUCCGCCCUUCCAGCUCCAGCAGCAGCAGCAGCAGCAGCCCGUGGAUCAUAUGGACGUCGCCGCCGCGCCGGCGCAGGCGGGCGAGGCGGCCAACACCACGGCGUUCGUGGACGGCAUCAUCCGGGACAUCAUCGGGAGCAGCGGCGCCGGGGUGUCCGUCGCGCAGCUCAUCCACAACGUCCGCGAGAUCAUCCACCCCUGCAACCCCGGUCUGGCCUCGCUCCUCGAGCUCCGCCUCCGGUCCCUCCUCGCAUCCGACCCCGCCCCGCCGCAGCAGCAUCAGCAUCAGCCCGCUCUCCUCCCUAACGCCCCAAUGCCCAUGGUGGCGCUCCCUCCCCCGCCUCCGGACAAGCGGCGCCGCGAGGAGGAGCGGGAGCCCAACAACCCGCCGCAGUCGCCCAAGCCUCCGUCCGCAGAGGAAGCCGCCGCGGCCGCAGCGGCGGCGGCGGCUGCCGCCUCCGCGGCGGUGAAGGAGCGGAAGGAGGGGCAGCGGCGGAAGCAGCGCGACGAGGAGGGGCUCCACUUGCUGACGCUGCUCCUGCAGUGCGCGGAGUCGGUGAACGCCGACAACCUGGACGAGGCCCAGACGGCGCUGCUGGAGAUCGCGGAGCUGGCCACCCCCUUCGGCACCUCCACGCAGCGCGUGGCCGCCUACUUCGCGGAGGCCGUGUCGGCCCGCCUGGUCAGCUCCUGCCUGGGCCUCUACGCGCCGCUGCCCCACGCGUCCCCGGCGGCGUCCCGGCUGGUGAACGGCCGCGUGGCCGCGGCGUUCCAGGUGUUCAACGGCAUCAGCCCCCUGGUGAAGUUCUCCCACUUCACGGCGAACCAGGCGAUCCAGGAGGCGUUCGAGCGGGAGGAGCGCGUGCACAUCAUCGACCUGGACAUCAUGCAGGGGCUCCAGUGGCCGGGGCUGUUCCACAUCCUGGCGUCCCGGCCCGGCGGCCCGCCGAGGGUGAGGCUGACCGGGCUGGGCGCCUCCAUGGACGCCCUGGAGGCCACCGGGAAGCGGCUGUCGGAUUUCGCCGACACGCUGGGCCUGCCCUUCGAGUUCUGCCCCGUGGCGGACAAGGCCGGGAAUCUUGACCCGGAGAAGCUGGGCGUCACGCGGCGCGAGGCCGUCGCCGUCCACUGGCUGCACCAUUCCCUCUACGACGUCACCGGCUCCGACUCCAACACGCUGUGUCUCAUCAAGAGGUUGGCGCCCAAGGUGGUGACGAUGGUGGAGCAGGACCUGCGGCACACGGGGUCGUUCCUGGCGCGGUUCGUGGAGGCGAUCCACUACUACUCGGCGCUGUUCGACUCGCUGGACGCCAGCUACGGCGAGGACAGCCCGGAGCGGCACGUCGUGGAGCAGCAGCUGCUGUCGCGGGAGAUCCGCAACGUGCUGGCCGUGGGCGGGCCGUCGCGCACCGGCGACGUCAAGUUCGGCUGCUGGCGCGACAGCCUCGCCCGCUCCGGCUUCGGCGCCGCCUCGCUCGCCGGCAGCGCCGCCGCGCAGGCCGCGCUGCUCCUCGGCAUGUUCCCCUCCGACGGCUACACGCUCGUCGAGGAGAACGGCGCCCUCAAGCUCGGCUGGAAGGACCUCACCCUGCUCACCGCCUCCGCAUGGCGCCCCAUGCACGCUAGAGCUUAA